UGUCCUACGGGGGGCAGCAGUGGGGGAUAUUGCACAAUGGGGGGAACCCUGAUGCAGCGACGCCGCGUGGGCGAUGGAGUGCUUCGGCAUGUAAAGCCCUAUCAGCAGGGAAGAAAAUGACGGUACCUGACUAAGAAGCCCCGGCUAAAUACGUGCCAGCAGCCGCGGUAAUACGUAUGGUGCAAGCGUUAUCCGGAAUGACUGGGUGUAAAGGGAGCGUAGACGGUUGUACAAGUCUGAUGUGAAAGCCCACGGCUCAACUGUGGGAGUGCAUUGGAAACUGUAGAACUAGAGUAUCGGAGAGG
Molecule: ribosomal RNA, 305 nt
Filed under: uncultured bacterium
Lineage: Bacteria
Description: bacterial SSU rRNA
Rfam family: Bacterial small subunit ribosomal RNA
Source: RNAcentral